ACUCCUACGGGAGGCAGCAGUGGGGAAUAUUGCACAAUGGGCGCAAGCCUGAUGCAGCCAUGCCGCGUGUAUGAAGAAGGCCUUCGGGUUGUAAAGUACUUUCAGCGGGGAGGAAGGCGAUAAGGUUAAUAACCUUGUCGAUUGACGUUACCCGCAGAAGAAGCACCGGCUAACUCCGUGCCAGCAGCCGCGGUAAUACGGAGGGUGCAAGCGUUAAUCGGAAUUACUGGGCGUAAAGCGCACGCAGGCGGUCUGUCAAGUCGGAUGUGAAAUCCCCGGGCUCAACCUGGGAACUGCAUUCGAAACUGGCAGGCUAGAGUCUUGUAGAGGGGGGUAGAAUUCCAGGUGUAGCGGUGAAAUGCGUAGAGAUCUGGAGGAAUACCGGUGGCGAAGGCGGCCCCCUGGACAAAGACUGACGCUCAGGUGCGAAAGCGUGGGGAGCAAACAGGAUUAGAAACCCCAGUAGUCC
Molecule: ribosomal RNA, 469 nt
Filed under: uncultured organism
Description: partial 16S ribosomal RNA
Rfam family: Bacterial small subunit ribosomal RNA
Source: RNAcentral